RNAcentral lists this ribosomal RNA (292 nucleotides) under uncultured bacterium. Its description in RNAcentral is "partial 16S ribosomal RNA". It matches the Rfam family "Bacterial small subunit ribosomal RNA", at positions 505 to 796 of the family's 1533-position model. The record is from RNAcentral.
GUGCCAGCAGCCGCGGUAAUACGGAAGGGGCAAGCGUUGUUCGGAAUCAUUGGGCGUAAAGGGCGCGUAGGUGGUCUUGUGUGUCUAUCGUGAAAGCACACGGCUCAACCGUGUAAAGUCGGUGGAAACUGCAGGACUUGAGGUUGGGAGGGGCUGGUGGAAUUCCCUGUGUAGCGGUGAAAUGCGUAGAGAUGGGGGAGAACACUUGUGGCGAAGGCGGCCAGCUGGACCAAUCCUGACACUGAGGCGCGACAGCGUGGGGAGCAAACAGGAUUAGAUACCCUGGUAGUCC